Molecule: ribosomal RNA, 468 nt
Filed under: uncultured bacterium
Lineage: Bacteria
Description: bacterial SSU rRNA
Rfam family: Bacterial small subunit ribosomal RNA
Source: RNAcentral
CCAGACUCCUACGGGAGGCAGCAGUGGGGAAUCUUCCGCAAUGGGCGAAAGCCUGACGGAGCAACGCCGCGUGAUCGAAUGAAGGCCUUCGGGUUGUAAAGAUCUGUUGACAGGGACGAAUAAGCAAUGCGAAUAGUUUUGUGUAUGACGGUACCUGUUUAGAAAGCUCCGGCUAACUACGUGCCAGCAGCCGCGGUAAUACGGAGGAUGCGAGCGUUAUCCGGAUUUAUUGGGUUUAAAGGGUGCGCAGGCGGAAGAUCAAGUCAGCGGUAAAAUUGAGAGGCUCAACCUCUUCGAGCCGUUGAAACUGGUUUUCUUGAGUGAGCGAGAAGUAUGCGGAAUGCGUGGUGUAGCGGUGAAAUGCAUAGAUAUCACGCAGAACUCCGAUUGCGAAGGCAGCAUACCGGCGCUCAACUGACGCUCAUGCACGAAAGUGUGGGUAUCGAACAGGAUUAGAUACCCUCGUAU